AGAUUGAACGCUAGCGGGAUGCUUUACACAUGCAAGUCGAACGGCAGCGCGGACUUCGGUCUGGCGGCGAGUGGCGAACGGGUGAGUAAUAUAUCGGAACGUGCCCAGUAGCGGGGGAUAACUACGCGAAAGCGUGGCUAAUACCGCAUACGCCCUACGGGGGAAAGGGGGGAUCGCAAGACCUCUCACUAUUGGAGCGGCCGAUAUCAGAUUAGCUAGUUGGUGAGGUAAAGGCUCACCAAGGCGACGAUCUGUAGCUGGUUUGAGAGGACGACCAGCCACACUGGGACUGAGACACGGCCCAGACUCCUACGGGAGGCAGCAGUGGGGAAUUUUGGACAAUGGGGGAAACCCUGAUCCAGCCAUCCCGCGUGUGCGAUGAAGGCCUCGGGUUGG
RNAcentral lists this ribosomal RNA (396 nucleotides) under uncultured soil bacterium. RNAcentral describes it as "bacterial SSU rRNA". It matches the Rfam family "Bacterial small subunit ribosomal RNA", at positions 26 to 426 of the family's 1533-position model. The record is from RNAcentral.